UACAGAGGGUGCAAGCGUUGUUCGGAAUUAUUGGGCGUAAAGGGAGUGUAGGCGGUGAGUUAAGUCUUCUGUGAAAUCUACGGGCUUAGCCUGUAAAGUGCAGAGGAAACUGGCUGACUUGAGUAUCGGAGAGGGCAGGGGAAUACCCAGUGUAGAGGUGAAAUUCGUAGAGAUUGGGUGGAACACCAGUGGCGAAGGCGCCGGCCUGGCUGAUGACUGACGCUGAGACUCGAAAGCAUGGGGAGCAAACAGG
RNAcentral lists this ribosomal RNA (253 nucleotides) under uncultured bacterium. Its description in RNAcentral is "partial 16S ribosomal RNA". It matches the Rfam family "Bacterial small subunit ribosomal RNA", at positions 524 to 776 of the family's 1533-position model. The record is from RNAcentral.